Molecule: unclassified non-coding RNA, 184 nt
Filed under: Rhizophagus sp. (in: glomeromycetes)
Lineage: Eukaryota; Fungi; Glomeromycota; Glomeromycetes; Glomerales; Glomeraceae
Description: Rhizophagus sp. (in: Fungi) partial internal transcribed spacer region
Rfam family: Eukaryotic small subunit ribosomal RNA (bases 1-46)
Source: RNAcentral
AAGUCGUAACAAGGUUUCCGUAGGUGAACCUGCGGAAGGAUCAUUACCGAUUUUUAGCGGACCUGGUCUUUGAUCAUGGUCUCGCGAAAACUUGUAUUUAAAACCCCACUCUUAUAAAUUUGAAUCAUUUUAUUAUAUGUAUAAUAAAUAAAGAUCACUUUCAACAACGGAUCUCUUGGCUCCA